Long non-coding RNA from Rhineura floridana, 1465 nucleotides. RefSeq lists it as uncharacterized. NCBI's taxonomy places the organism in Eukaryota, Metazoa, Chordata, Lepidosauria, Squamata, Rhineuridae. The transcript is spliced from 3 exons. The record is from RefSeq and is a predicted model, not a curated record.
CUCAGGCCCUGAACCUGGCAAUCCUAAUAUGGAGUGAAGACUUUUUUCCUUCCCUUUUUGUAUUAUCAGCGGAUUGGGCCAUCCACAAUGAGGCAUGCCAGACGAAAGAGGAACAGCUGGGGAGACCUCAGGCUUGGAGCCCUGGAAGAAGAUAAAUCCAAUGGUAUGCUUGACAGUCUUGACCUUGAAGUCAAUGCCCACAGUACUAACAAAGGCUGAAGUGAAGGAGUCAUCAGCGUAUCGGAAGAGGAAUGAUGUCUUGCCUACACUGCUGUUGCCAAUGAUCAGCAGCUUGAACAUGUAGUCAAAAUUCUGGUCAGCAGCAUCCUUGGGUGCCUGUCGCGUGUCAUUUGCAGAAGCCAUCUGCGGAGAUUGGAGGAAGGCAUAUUAAAUUAUAGUGUAGCUCCAAGGCUCAGAAACCCACCACCCUUUUCAGAGCUUGCAGAUAGAGCCAGAUCCAGACAGCAACGAGCAGUCAGUCAUUUGCUUGGCCCCUGAGCUUAACCAAACUUGCUACUGCUCCAAGAGCACCUCUUUACAUGAGACACCCAAGGUGGUCAGAAUCAGUGAAAAAAUCAGUUUGGUAAGAGGGAAGAGGCCCACCAAGGUUGCCUUGCUUGAGCCCCCUUCUGUCAAAUGCUAAAGCCAACAGAACUCACAGACCACAGUACUGAGCUUUUAAUUAAAAGGACUGUCCCAGCACAACACCAUCUGUAUCCUAUCUCCCUGCCCUAUAGCAAGUAUAUCCACACAGGGUGUGUUUAUUAUUAACUCCACAGUUGUUAGCAAUAGAUAUGGGGAUUGUGCUAUUCGAUAGAGAGAGUAUUAUGUCACUGGUGGCAAUGAAGUAGCAACAUAAGCAUAACUGCUUCUGGGCACUCAGCCAUCAGUUCCUGCAAAGGAACAUGCUCACAUCCAGUGCCUCUAAUUGUCCCUGUGGCUAUAAUCUUAGAGCUAUGUGUCAGGUUGUGUUAUAGUUCCAAAGACUGAACACUCUAGAAGUUUAUAUGACCUGUGAUUAAAAAAUGUUGCCAUCAGUAAGGGAACAGCACUGGUGGCAAUCUGUAUGAGCCUUUAGUUUACAACCUGUCACUGACUCUGGAGCUUACACAGGUACAAGCACUGUGGCUUACCCACAUGGAAAGGCAUGGGCAGCUGUCUCACAGCAAAAAAUAUGCACAUUCUUAAACCCGCAUACGGAAAGCCUUUUCAGUGCAGAUCUGACUCUCCCUCACUUGAUGCACAUUCAUACGGCAGCUUAUAACAAUCUAUUUUUGCAGGUCUCAGGAGCAUAGCAAGGGUGGCCCUAUUUGUUCAACUGCAUUGUACUGCUGAUUGUUAUAUGUUGCUUUAAUUGCAGUCUAUGGUAAUUAUGUGAUACUGUUUUUUAAUCACUGCAUUUUAUAAGCUUUGUUUUUAUUGUUGUACUUUAUAAAUGUUGUUAGCUGCUCUGGGCUGUAUAUAA